CGUCUAGAGGCCCAGGACACCGCCCUUUCACGGCGGUAACAGGGGUUCGAAUCCCCUAGGGGACGCCACUUGCUGGUUUGUGAGUGAAAGUCACCUGCCUUAAUAUCUCAAAACUCAUCUUCGGGUGAUGUUUGAGAUAUUUGCUCUUUAAAAAUCUGGAUCAAGCUGAAAAUUGAAACACUGAACAACGAAAGUUGUUCGUGAGUCUCUCAAAUUUUCGCAACACGAUGAUGAAUCGWAAGAAACAUCUUCGGGUUGUGAGCAGCCCAGAGCCUGAAUCAGUGUGUGUGUUAGUGGAAGCGUCUGGAAAGGCGCGCGAUACAGGGUGACAGCCCCGUACACAAAAAUGCACAUGCUGUGAGCUCGAUGAGUAGGGCGGGACACGUGGUAUCCUGUCUGAAUAUGGGGGGACCAUCCUCCAAGGCUAAAUACUCCUGACUGACCGAUAGUGAACCAGUACCGUGAGGGAAAGGCGAAAAGAACCCCGGCGAGGGGAGUGAAAAAGAACCUGAAACCGUGUACGUACAAGCAGUGGGAGCACGCUUMGGCGUGUGACUGCGUACCUUUUGUAUAAUGGGUCAGCGACUUAUAUUCUGUAGCAAGGUUAACCGAAUAGGGGAGCCGAAGGGAAACCGAGUCUUAACUGGGCGUUAAGUUGCAGGGUAUAGACCCGAAACCCGGUGAUCUAGCCAUGGGCAGGUUGAAGGUUGGGUAACACUAACUGGAGGACCGAACCGACUAAUGUUGAAAAAUUAGCGGAUGACUUGUGGCUGGGGGUGAAAGGCCAAUCAAACCGGGAGAUAGCUGGUUCUCCCCGAAAGCUAUUUAGGUAGCGCCUCGUGAAUUCAUCUCCGGGGGUAGAGCACUGUUUCGGCAAGGGGGUCAUCCCGACUUACCAACCCGAUGCAAACUGCGAAUACCGGAGAAUGUUAUCACGGGAGACACACGGCGGGUGCUAACGUCCGUCGUGAAGAGGGAAACAACCCAGACCGCCAGCUAAGGUCCCAAAGUCAUGGUUAAGUGGGAAACGAUGUGGGAAGGCCCAGACAGCCAGGAUGUUGGCUUAGAAGCAGCCAUCAUUUAAAGAAAGCGUAAUAGCUCACUGGUCGAGUCGGCCUGCGCGGAAGAUGUAACGGGGCUAAACCAUGCACCGAAGCUGCGGCAGCGACACUAUGUGUUGUUGGGUAGGGGAGCGUUCUGUAAGCCUGUGAAGGUGUGCUGUGAGGCAUGCUGGAGGUAUCAGAAGUGCGAAUGCUGACAUAAGUAACGAUAAAGCGGGUGAAAAGCCCGCUCGCCGGAAGACCAAGGGUUCCUGUCCAACGUUAAUCGGGGCAGGGUGAGUCGACCCCUAAGGCGAGGCCGAAAGGCGUAGUCGAUGGGAAACAGGUUAAUAUUCCUGUACUUGGUGUUACUGCGAAGGGGGGACGGAGAAGGCUAUGUUGGCCGGGCGACGGUUGUCCCGGUUUAAGCGUGUAGGCUGGUUUUCCAGGCAAAUCCGGAAAAUCAAGGCUGAGGCGUGAUGACGAGGCACUACGGUGCUGAAGCAACAAAUGCCCUGCUUCCAGGAAAAGCCUCUAAGCAUCAGGUAACAUCAAAUCGUACCCCAAACCGACACAGGUGGUCAGGUAGAGAAUACCAAGGCGCUUGAGAGAACUCGGGUGAAGGAACUAGGCAAAAUGGUGCCGUAACUUCGGGAGAAGGCACGCUGAUAUGUAGGUGAAGCGACUUGCUCGUGGAGCUGAAAUCAGUCGAAGAUACCAGCUGGCUGCAACUGUUUAUUAAAAACACAGCACUGUGCAAACACGAAAGUGGACGUAUACGGUGUGACGCCUGCCCGGUGCCGGAAGGUUAAUUGAUGGGGUUAGCGCAAGCGAAGCUCUUGAUCGAAGCCCCGGUAAACGGCGGCCGUAACUAUAACGGUCCUAAGGUAGCGAAAUUCCUUGUCGGGUAAGUUCCGACCUGCACGAAUGGCGUAAUGAUGGCCAGGCUGUCUCCACCCGAGACUCAGUGAAAUUGAACUCGCUGUGAAGAUGCAGUGUACCCGCGGCAAGACGGAAAGACCCCGUGAACCUUUACUAUAGCUUGACACUGAACAUUGAGCCUUGAUGUGUAGGAUAGGUGGGAGGCUUUGAAGUGUGGACGCCAGUCUGCAUGGAGCCGACCUUGAAAUACCACCCUUUAAUGUUUGAUGUUCUAACGUUGACCCGUAAUCCGGGUUGCGGACAGUGUCUGGUGGGUAGUUUGACUGGGGCGGUCUCCUCCUAAAGAGUAACGGAGGAGCACGAAGGUUGGCUAAUCCUGGUCGGACAUCAGGAGGUUAGUGCAAUGGCAUAAGCCAGCUUGACUGCGAGCGUGACGGCGCGAGCAGGUGCGAAAGCAGGUCAUAGUGAUCCGGUGGUUCUGAAUGGAAGGGCCAUCGCUCAACGGAUAAAAGGUACUCCGGGGAUAACAGGCUGAUACCGCCCAAGAGUUCAUAUCGACGGCGGUGUUUGGCACCUCGAUGUCGGCUCAUCACAUCCUGGGGCUGAAGUAGGUCCCAAGGGUAUGGCUGUUCGCCAUUUAAAGUGGUACGCGAGCUGGGUUUAGAACGUCGUGAGACAGUUCGGUCCCUAUCUGCCGUGGGCGCUGGAGAACUGAGGGGGGCUGCUCCUAGUACGAGAGGACCGGAGUGGACGCAUCACUGGUGUUCGGGUUGUCAUGCCAAUGGCACUGCCCGGUAGCUAAAUGCGGAAGAGAUAAGUGCUGAAAGCAUCUAAGCACGAAACUUGCCCCGAGAUGAGUUCUCCCUGACYCCUURAGAGUCCUGAAGGAACGUUGAAGACGACGACGUUGAUAGGCCGGGUGUGUAAGCGCAGCGAUGCGUUGAGCUAACCGGUACUAAUGAACCGUGAGGCUUAACCUU
RNAcentral lists this ribosomal RNA (2902 nucleotides) under Escherichia coli. Its description in RNAcentral is "bacterial LSU rRNA". Lineage: Bacteria; Pseudomonadati; Pseudomonadota; Gammaproteobacteria; Enterobacterales; Enterobacteriaceae. The record is from RNAcentral.